Molecule: ribosomal RNA, 497 nt
Filed under: uncultured bacterium
Lineage: Bacteria
Description: partial 16S ribosomal RNA
Rfam family: Bacterial small subunit ribosomal RNA
Source: RNAcentral
GACGAACGCUGGCGGCGUGCCUAAUACAUGCAAGUAGAACGCUGAAGAGAGGAGCUUGCUCUUCUUGGAUGAGUUGCGAACGGGUGAGUAACGCGUAGGUAACCUGCCUGGUAGCGGGGGAUAACUAUUGGAAACGAUAGCUAAUACCGCAUAAAAUUGAUUAUUGCAUGAUAAUUAAUUGAAAGAUGCAACUGCAUCACUACCAGAUGGACCUGCGUUGUAUUAGCUAGUUGGUGAGGUAACGGCUCACCAAGGCGACGAUACAUAGCCGACCUGAGAGGGUGAUCGGCCACACUGGGACUGAGACACGGCCCAGACUCCUACGGGAGGCAGCAGUAGGGAAUCUUCGGCAAUGGGGGGAACCCUGACCGAGCAACGCCGCGUGAGUGAAGAAGGUUUUCGGAUCGUAAAGCUCUGUUGUAAGAGAAGAACGGGUGUGAGAGUGGAAAGUUCACACUGUGACGGUAUCUGACCAGAAAGGGACGGCUAACUACGUG